This 814-nucleotide ribosomal RNA is filed under the name uncultured Ascomycota. RNAcentral's name for it is "LSU rRNA". It matches the Rfam family "Eukaryotic large subunit ribosomal RNA", at positions 400 to 1236 of the family's 3401-position model. The record is from RNAcentral. Lineage: Eukaryota; Fungi; Ascomycota.
UGAAAUUGUUGAAAGGGAAGCGCUUGCAACCAGACCUGCCUGCAGUUGCUCAUCCGGGCUUUUGCCCGGUGCACUCUUCUGCUGUCAGGCCAGCAUCAGUUCGGGCGGUCGGAUAAAGGCUUCGGGAAUGUAGCUCCUCUCGAGGAGUGUUAUAGCCCGUUGCGAAAUGCGGCCAGCCUGAACUGAGGUCCGCGCUUCGGCUAGGAUGCUGGCGUAAUGGUUGUAAGCGGCCCGUCUUGAAACACGGACCAAGGAGUCUAACAUCUGUGCGAGUGUUUGGGUGUCAAACCCGUACGCGUAAUGAAAGUGAACGGAGGCGGGAACCCCUCGGGGUGCACCGUCGACCGAUCCUGAUGUCUUCGGAUGGAUUUGAGUAAGAGCAUAGCUGUUGGGACCCGAAAGAUGGUGAACUAUGCCUGAAUAGGGUGAAGCCAGAGGAAACUCUGGUGGAGGCUCGCAGCGGUUCUGACGUGCAAAUCGAUCGUCAAAUUUGGGCAUAGGGGCGAAAGACUAAUCGAACUAUCUAGUAGCUGGUUCCUGCCGAAGUUUCCCUCAGGAUAGCAGUAACGUUUUCAGUUUUAUGAGGUAAAGCGAAUGAUUAGAGGCCUGGGGGUUGAAACAACCUUCACCUAUUCUCAAACUUUAAAUAUGUAAGAAGUCCUUGUUGCUUAGUUGAACGUGGACAUUUGAAUGUAUCGUUACUAGUGGGCCAUUUUUGGUAAGCAGAACUGGCGAUGCGGGAUGAACCGAACGCGGAGUUAAGGUGCCGGAAUGCACGCUCAUCAGACACCACAAAAGGUGUUGGUUCAUCUAG